RNAcentral lists this ribosomal RNA (364 nucleotides) under Staphylococcus hominis. RNAcentral describes it as "bacterial SSU rRNA". It matches the Rfam family "Bacterial small subunit ribosomal RNA", at positions 1 to 354 of the family's 1533-position model. Lineage: Bacteria; Bacillati; Bacillota; Bacilli; Caryophanales; Staphylococcaceae. The record is from RNAcentral.
UUUAUGGAGAGUUUGAUCCUGGCUCAGGAUGAACGCUGGCGGCGUGCCUAAUACAUGCAAGUCGAGCGAACAGAUAAGGAGCUUGCUCCUUUGACGUUAGCGGCGGACGGGUGAGUAACACGUGGGUAACCUACCUAUAAGACUGGGAUAACUUCGGGAAACCGGAGCUAAUACCGGAUAAUAUUUCGAACUGCAUGGUUCGAUAGUGAAAGAUGGCCCUGCUAUCACUUAUAGAUGGACCUGCGCCGUAUUAGCUAGUUGGUAAGGUAACGGCUUACCAAGGCAACGAUACGUAGCCGACCUGAGAGGGUGAUCGGCCACACUGGAACUGAGACACGGUCCAGACUCCUACGGGAGGCAGCAG